CGGGUGUGUAAGCGUAGCGAUACGUUGAGCUAACCGAUACUAAUGAACCGUGAGGCUUAACCUUACAACGCCGAAG
RNAcentral lists this ribosomal RNA (76 nucleotides) under Escherichia coli. RNAcentral's name for it is "partial 23S ribosomal RNA". Lineage: Bacteria; Pseudomonadati; Pseudomonadota; Gammaproteobacteria; Enterobacterales; Enterobacteriaceae. RNAcentral also lists the same sequence under 4 other names. The record is from RNAcentral.